Molecule: transfer RNA, 74 nt
Filed under: Chloroflexota bacterium
Lineage: Bacteria; Bacillati; Chloroflexota
Description: tRNA-Gly
Rfam family: tRNA
About the family: Transfer RNA (tRNA) molecules are approximately 80 nucleotides in length. Their secondary structure includes four short double-helical elements and three loops (D, anti-codon, and T loops). Further hydrogen bonds mediate the characteristic L-shaped molecular structure. tRNAs have two regions of fundamental functional importance: the anti-codon, which is responsible for specific mRNA codon recognition, and the 3' end, to which the tRNAs corresponding amino acid is attached (by aminoacyl-tRNA synthetases). tRNAs cope with the degeneracy of the genetic code in two manners: having more than one tRNA (with a specific anti-codon) for a particular amino acid; and 'wobble' base-pairing, i.e. permitting non-standard base-pairing at the 3rd anti-codon position.
Source: RNAcentral
GCGGGCGUUGCAAAAUGGUAUUGCCACAGCCUUCCAAGCUGUUGUUACGGGUUCGAUUCCCGUCGCCCGCUCUA